Molecule: ribosomal RNA, 207 nt
Filed under: uncultured bacterium
Lineage: Bacteria
Description: partial 16S ribosomal RNA
Rfam family: Bacterial small subunit ribosomal RNA
Source: RNAcentral
AGCGUAGGCGGAAGAGCAAGUCUGAUGUGAAAGGCUGGGGCUUAACCCCAGGACUGCAUUGGAAACUGUUUUUCUUGAGUGCCGGAGAGGUAAGCGGAAUUCCUAGUGUAGCGGUGAAAUGCGUAGAUAUUAGGAGGAACACCGGAGGCGAAAGCGGCUCUCUGGCCUGUAACUGACACUGAGGCUCGAAAGCGUGGGGAGCAAACA